GCUUGAGUAGCAAAGUUGGUUAAUGCUUGAGAUUUAGGUUCUUACAUCAAGGUUCGAAUCCCUUCUUGAGUU
This 72-nucleotide transfer RNA is filed under the name Marthasterias glacialis (spiny starfish). RNAcentral describes it as "tRNA-Leu". It matches the Rfam family "tRNA". From Rfam's summary of the family: Transfer RNA (tRNA) molecules are approximately 80 nucleotides in length. Their secondary structure includes four short double-helical elements and three loops (D, anti-codon, and T loops). Further hydrogen bonds mediate the characteristic L-shaped molecular structure. tRNAs have two regions of fundamental functional importance: the anti-codon, which is responsible for specific mRNA codon recognition, and the 3' end, to which the tRNAs corresponding amino acid is attached (by aminoacyl-tRNA synthetases). tRNAs cope with the degeneracy of the genetic code in two manners: having more than one tRNA (with a specific anti-codon) for a particular amino acid; and 'wobble' base-pairing, i.e. permitting non-standard base-pairing at the 3rd anti-codon position. Lineage: Eukaryota; Metazoa; Echinodermata; Asteroidea; Forcipulatida; Asteriidae. The record is from RNAcentral.